RNAcentral lists this ribosomal RNA (381 nucleotides) under uncultured eukaryote. Its description in RNAcentral is "partial 18S ribosomal RNA". It matches the Rfam family "Eukaryotic small subunit ribosomal RNA", at positions 592 to 976 of the family's 1831-position model. The record is from RNAcentral.
CAAUAGCGUAUAUUAAAGUUGUUGCGGUAAAAAAGCUCGUAGUUGGAUUUCUACCGAAGAUAGCCGGUCGGGUCUUCGACCGUGUAUCUGGUUUUGUCUUUGGUAUCCUCAUAGGGAACGUUUCUGCGCUUUAUUGCGUGGUGCGGUAUCUAUGACUUUUACUUUGAGGAAAUUAGAGUGUUCACGGCAGGCAAACGCCUUGAAUAUAUUAGCAUGGAAUAAUAACAUAGGAUCUUCGUCCUAUUUUGUUGGUUUCUAGGGCUAAGAUAAUGAUUAAUAGGGAUAAUUGGGGGCAUCUGUAUCAACGCGUCAGAGGUGGAAUUCUUGGAUUGCGUUGCGACAAACUACUGCGAAAGCAUUUGCCAAGGAUGUUUUCAUUGA